AGUGUUCCCUUGGAAUGCAGCCCUUAUUACAUGCCAGGUAUGUGCUAACGGCUGCAUUCCAGAUGUGAUCAGCACU
Non-coding RNA from Podarcis lilfordi (Lilford's wall lizard), 76 nucleotides. Lineage: Eukaryota; Metazoa; Chordata; Lepidosauria; Squamata; Lacertidae. The record is from the annotation of a GenBank genome assembly.